Molecule: ribosomal RNA, 373 nt
Filed under: uncultured bacterium
Lineage: Bacteria
Description: bacterial SSU rRNA
Rfam family: Bacterial small subunit ribosomal RNA
Source: RNAcentral
UAAUACGGAGGGUGCAAGCGUUGUCCGGAUUUAUUGGGUUUAAAGGGUGCGUAGGUGGUUUGAUAAGUCCGGGGUGAAAGCCCACAGCUCAACUGUGGAACUGCCCUGGAUACUGUCAGACUUGAGGGUAGACGAGGUUGGCGGAAUAGAAGGUGUAGCGGUGAAAUGCAUAGAUACCUUCUAGAACCCCGAUUGCGUAGGCAGCUGACUAGGCUACACCUGACACUGAGGCACGAAAGCGUGGGGAGCGAACAGGAUUAGAUACCCUGGUAGUCCACGCCGUAAACGAUGGAUACUCGCUGGUGGCGAUAGACAGUCACUGGCUUAGCGAAAGCGGUAAGUAUCCCACCUGGGGAGUACGCUCGCAAGAGUG